AAGGCUGCUCCCCCAGGCCGCCCCCAGAUAGUGGAGUCUCUCCCAGCCCAGUCCGAAGAUUCGGAGCCAGCGCCCAGCCCCGAUCCUCACUCACUGCUCACUCCCGAGGUGCAGGGCAGAGGUGCCAGUGUUGCAAGCAAGUGACACAGUUACCCCCGAAUCAGUCACUGCGGAGUUUCGCUGUUUUUGCCCAGGCUGGAGUGCAAUGGCAUGAUCUCGGUUCACCGCAACCUCCACCUCCCGGGUUCAAGCGAUUCUCCUGCCUCAGCCUCCCGAAUAGCUGGGAUUACAGAUAAAUGUUUCAGAGUGCUGCCAACAACCGUCCUGCAACCACGAGUGGCAAGCCCAAGAUCAAAAACCAAAUAUUGAGGAUGGCAAAGAAACAAGAAAGAGACUGGGCUUUUGGGGACAUCACUGAGCCACUUUGCCAAACCUGGAGUUGCCUACCUUCAAAAGUUUUGUUAUAUGACAUAAUUAAUCUUUACUGCUUUGCCACUUCUGGUGGAAUAUUUUAUUACUAUCACCAGAAGCAUUUCUUGGCUUCAAUAACACACAUACUCAGUGUCACCUGCUUCAAGAGCACUGUACUCAUAAUUCUGACUAAUGUACAUUUCCACAUGUCUGACCCAAAGGAGGAAGAGGCAGAGCAAGACGGCUCAAUAGAAGCCUCCAUUAAUUGUCCUCCCCACUGGAAUACCAAAUUGAACAACUACCCACACAAAGAAGCACCUUCAUGA
This 737-nucleotide non-coding RNA is filed under the name Pongo abelii (Sumatran orangutan). Lineage: Eukaryota; Metazoa; Chordata; Mammalia; Primates; Hominidae. The record is from RNAcentral.